GACGUAGGGCGCAAGCGUUGUCCGGAUUUAUUGGGCGUAAAGAGCUCGUAGGCGGUGUGUCGCGUCGGCCGUGAAAACCUGCAGCUUAACUGUGGGCUUGCGGUCGAUACGGGCAUCACUGGAGUUCGGCAGGGGAGACUGGAAUUCCUGGUGUAGCGGUGAAAUGCGCAGAUAUCAGGAGGAACACCGGUGGCGAAGGCGGUUCUCUGGGCAUUACCUGACGCUGAGGAGCGAAAGUGUGGGGAGCGAACAGG
RNAcentral lists this ribosomal RNA (254 nucleotides) under uncultured bacterium. RNAcentral's name for it is "partial 16S ribosomal RNA". It matches the Rfam family "Bacterial small subunit ribosomal RNA", at positions 524 to 776 of the family's 1533-position model. The record is from RNAcentral.